RNAcentral lists this transfer RNA (74 nucleotides) under Clostridium sp. AF22-10. RNAcentral's name for it is "tRNA-Met". It matches the Rfam family "tRNA". From Rfam's summary of the family: Transfer RNA (tRNA) molecules are approximately 80 nucleotides in length. Their secondary structure includes four short double-helical elements and three loops (D, anti-codon, and T loops). Lineage: Bacteria; Bacillati; Bacillota; Clostridia; Eubacteriales; Clostridiaceae. The record is from RNAcentral.
GGAUCGUUAGCUCAGUUGGUUAGAGUAGUCGGCUCAUAACCGAUCGGUCAUAGGUUCAAGUCCUAUACGAUCCA